AGACUGACUAUAUAUUACUCUUUUGUUAUGUCAAACUUUAACCAUUGUACUCUGACUUGGCACUUUACCAAUGAAUCUAAUACUAGAAAGAUAGAGAAAAUACAGCAAUAAGCUCUGAGAUUCAUAUAUGAUGAUUUCUGUAGCAGCUAUGAUGAAUUACUUGAAAAAUCUGGUGUUAUCUCACUGAAAGUUAGAAGGUUAAGAUCUAUUGCCUUCGAAACAUAUAAAAUCCUUAAUAAAAUGUCCCCAGAGUAUCUAUCCCGGUGUGACCCAAAUUCGACGAUAUAACGGAUACAUAAAGCAAUAUUUAGCAAAUAAUAAAAAAACUUAUAUAGCUAAAAAUAAUAAUUUUUAACUCGGCUGUUAUUCUUUGAAAUGAUUCCAAGACAAUAAUCGUCCAUUUAAAUUUAAACCGAUAAAAAUAGAACAUCGUCGAAUUUAGGUGUCGUCGAAUUUGGGUUACGGUAAGAUACAUGAUUUACUGCAUCUAAAAAAUGUUAAUUAUAAUUUUAGGCACUUAAAUACUGUUGAGAUACCCCUACCAAGGACAGAAAGAUAUGAGCCGGGACCUUGCGUCCGCCUGCCCAAUAUUUGGAGGUUAUCUACGCCCCUAGAUCUACUAGAUCUAAUAACAUAUUAUUAUGUAUGGAUGCCUCAGUAAAUGUAUCUUAUGCUCACA
Long non-coding RNA from Dreissena polymorpha, 679 nucleotides. RefSeq lists it as uncharacterized. Lineage: Eukaryota; Metazoa; Mollusca; Bivalvia; Myida; Dreissenidae. The transcript is spliced from 2 exons. The record is from RefSeq and is a predicted model, not a curated record.